CCAUUUCCAUGAUGAUUUCAUAGUUCAAAUGAACAGACAUGAUUACAACCCAACUUUGUCUUUCGCUCCUAUCUGACUGCAACCU
Anoplophora glabripennis (Asian longhorned beetle) is the source of this 85-nucleotide small nucleolar RNA. RefSeq annotates it as small nucleolar RNA snR60/Z15/Z230/Z193/J17. The record is from RefSeq and is a predicted model, not a curated record. NCBI's taxonomy places the organism in Eukaryota, Metazoa, Arthropoda, Insecta, Coleoptera, Cerambycidae. The transcript has a single exon.